ACGAACGCUGGCGGCGUGCCUAAUACAUGCAAGUCGAGCGGAAUGAUGAAGAAGCUUGCUUCUUCUGAUUUUAGCGGCGGACGGGUGAGUAACACGUGGGCAACCUACCUUGUAGAUUGGGAUAACUCCGGGAAACCGGGGCUAAUACCGAAUAAUCCAUUUUGCUUCAUGGCGAGAUGUUGAAAGACGGUUUCGGCUGUCACUACAAGAUGGGCCCGCGGCGCAUUAGCUAGUUGGUAGGGUAAUGGCCUACCGAGGCGACGAUGCGUAGCCGACCUGAGAGGGUGAUCGGCCACACUGGGACUGAGACACGGCCCAGACUCCUACGGGAGGCAGCAGUAGGGAAUCUUCCACAAUGGACGAAAGUCUGAUGGAGCAACGCCGCGUGAGUGAAGAAGGUUUUCGGAUCGUAAAACUCUGUUGUAAGGGAAGAACACGUACGAGAGUAACUGCUCGUACCUUGACGGUACCUUAUUAGAAAGCCACGGCUAACUACGUG
This 499-nucleotide ribosomal RNA is filed under the name uncultured bacterium. RNAcentral describes it as "bacterial SSU rRNA". It matches the Rfam family "Bacterial small subunit ribosomal RNA", at positions 29 to 507 of the family's 1533-position model. The record is from RNAcentral.